RNAcentral lists this ribosomal RNA (330 nucleotides) under uncultured eukaryote. Its description in RNAcentral is "partial 18S ribosomal RNA". It matches the Rfam family "Eukaryotic small subunit ribosomal RNA", at positions 1470 to 1796 of the family's 1831-position model. The record is from RNAcentral.
CCCUUAGAUGUUCUGGGCCGCACGCGCGCUACACUGAUGCAUUCAACGAGUCUAAAACCUGGUCUGAUAGGGCUGGGUAAUUUUUUGAAUGUGCAUCGUGAUUGGGAUAGAUGAUUGCAAUUCUUCAUCUUCAACGAGGAAUGCCUAGUAAACGCAAGUCAUCAGCUUGCAUUGAUUACGUCCCUGCCCUUUGUACACACCGCCCGUCGCUCCUACCGAUUGAAUGUUCCGAUGAAUACCAUGGACUGAGAGUAUGAAUGGGUUCGCCUAUUUCUGCUUCUCGGGAAGUGGAGUAAAUCUUAACAUUUAGAGGAAGGAGAAGUCGUAACA